AUGUUGCAGCACCUGGAUCUCCAGGAUGAUGAGUUGGAUGAUGUGAUUGUGGGGGAGGAGGAAACAAAGAAGUACGAAACAGAUGCGAGAUGGUUGGCGAUCGAGAAGGUAAACACGACCCGCCCCUUCAGCUCAUCGUCGAUGUUCGAAACCAUGAAGUCAAUCUGGGGAUUAGCACAAGUGUCGAAGUACAGGGAGGCUGGAGAAAAUCUUUAUAUCUUUCAGAUGUUUUGCCUGGGAGAUUAGAAGAAAGUUGUUCAUGGAGGACCAUGGCUGUUCAGGGGGAUGGGGAUGCUAAUUGAAGAUUAUGACAGCAAGCAAGAUCCGGCAUCCUUCAUCUUUGAUGGCAUGUAUGUCUGGGCGCAGAUCCACAAUAUACUAGAGCUUUACCGUAAAAUCGAGGUAGUCGAUCAGCUAGCACGUCGUAUCGGCCGGGUUAAGGAGACACAACUUUCACCUAGGCUCUUUUAUGAGGGUGACUAUGUAAGGGCCCGAGCUAGGGUUCUGGUGAAUAAACCCCUUACCAGGGUGACUCCGUUGAACGUUGUGGGCGAGGGCAGAAAAUUCCUCCCUGUCAAGUAUGAGAAGAUACCCUACUUCUGCCAAGUUUGCGGACUCAUGGGUCAUAAUCAUGAGGAAUGUGGAGAUGGAGUCUGGGAGGCAAAAGAUAAGCAAUGGGGAAGCUGGAUGUUGGCACAGAGAAGGGAGAUAACACAGGAGCAGCAAGGAGGAGGCCGAGCUUCUCGAGGUGGCCACUAUGGGGGACGAGGCAGAGAAAGAUCAGGCGGGGCGCUCCACCGCCUCGCCAAGCUUCACCAGUGCGUAAACGAUCAUCUCAAGAGGCGGGGCUAG
RNAcentral lists this ribosomal RNA (852 nucleotides) under Triticum aestivum (bread wheat). RNAcentral describes it as "partial small subunit ribosomal RNA". The record is from RNAcentral. Lineage: Eukaryota; Viridiplantae; Streptophyta; Magnoliopsida; Poales; Poaceae.